AGUGAACGCUGGCGGUAGGCCUAACACAUGCAAGUCGAACGGCAGCACAGUAAGAGCUUGCUCUUACGGGUGGCGAGUGGCGGACGGGUGAGGAAUACAUCGGAAUCUACUUUUUCGUGGGGGAUAACGUAGGGAAACUUACGCUAAGACCGCAUACGACCUACGGGUGAAAGCAGGGGAUCUUCGGACCUUGCGCGAUUGAAUGAGCCGAUGUCGGAUUAGCUAGUUGGCGGGGUAAAGGCCCACCAAGGCGACGAUCCGUAGCUGGUCUGAGAGGAUGAUCAGCCACACUGGAACUGAGACACGGUCCAGACUCCUACGGGAGGCAGCAGUGGGGAAUAUUGGACAAUGGGCGCAAGCCUGAUCCAGCCAUACCGCGUGGGUGAAGAAGGCCUUCGGGUUGUAAAGCCCUUUUGUUGGGAAAGAAAAGCAGCAGGUUAAUACCACGCUGUUCUGACGGUACCCAAAGAAUAAGCACCGGCUAACUUCGUG
This 492-nucleotide ribosomal RNA is filed under the name uncultured bacterium. RNAcentral describes it as "partial 16S ribosomal RNA". It matches the Rfam family "Bacterial small subunit ribosomal RNA", at positions 29 to 507 of the family's 1533-position model. The record is from RNAcentral.